RNAcentral lists this ribosomal RNA (501 nucleotides) under uncultured bacterium. RNAcentral's name for it is "partial 16S ribosomal RNA". It matches the Rfam family "Bacterial small subunit ribosomal RNA", at positions 29 to 523 of the family's 1533-position model. The record is from RNAcentral.
AUUGAACGCUGGCGGCAUGCCUUACACAUGCAAGUCGAACGGCAGCACGGGUGCUUGCACCUGGUGGCGAGUGGCGAACGGGUGAGUAAUACAUCGGAACGUACCUUAUCGUGGGGGAUAACGCAGCGAAAGCUGUGCUAAUACCGCAUACGCCCUGAGGGGGAAAGCGGGGGAUCGAAAGACCUCGCGCGAUUAGAGCGGCCGAUGCCUGAUUAGCUUGUUGGUGGGGUAAAAGCCCACCAAGGCGACGAUCAGUAGCUGGUCUGAGAGGACGAUCAGCCCCACUGGGACUGAGAAACGGCCCAGACUCCUACGGGAGGCAGCAGUGGGGAAUUUUGGACAAUGGGGGCAACCCUGAUCCAGCAAUGCCGCGUGAGUGAAGAAGGCCUUCGGGUUGUAAAGCUCUUUUGUCAGGGAAGAAACACCGGCUCUAACACAGUCCGGGAAUGACGGUACCUGAAGAAUAAGCACCGGCUAACUACGUGCCAGCCGCCGCCGUAA